RNAcentral lists this ribosomal RNA (547 nucleotides) under uncultured bacterium. RNAcentral describes it as "bacterial SSU rRNA". It matches the Rfam family "Bacterial small subunit ribosomal RNA", at positions 355 to 896 of the family's 1533-position model. The record is from RNAcentral.
UGGGGAAUAUUGCGCAAUGGGGGGAACCCUGACGCAGCCAUGCCGCGUGAAUGAAGAAGGCCUUCGGGUUGUAAAGUUCUUUCGGUAUUGAGGAAGGUUGAUGUGUUAAUAGCACAUCAAAUUGACGUUAAAUACAGAAGAAGCACCGGNUAACUCCGUGCCAGCAGCCGCGGUAAUACGGAGGGUGCGAGCGUUAAUCGGAAUAACUGGGCGUAAAGGGCACGCAGGCGGUUAUUUAAGUGAGGUGUGAAAGCCCCGGGCUUAACCUGGGAAUUGCAUUUCAGACUGGGUAACUAGAGUACUUUAGGGAGGGGUAGAAUUCCACGUGUAGCGGUGAAAUGCGUAGAGAUGUGGAGGAAUACCGAAGGCGAAGGCAGCCCCUUGGGAAUGUACUGACGCUCAUGUGCGAAAGCGUGGGGAGCAAACAGGAUUAGAUACCCUGGUAGUCCACGCUGUAAACGCUGUCGAUUUGGGGGUUGGGGUUUAACUCUGGCGCCCGUAGCUAACGUGAUAAAUCGACCGCCUGGGGAGUACGGCCGCAAGGUUA